UAACGGUCCUAAGGUAGCGAAAUUCCUUGUCGGGUAAGUUCCGACCCGCACGAAAGGCGUAACGAUUUGGGCACUGUCUCAACGAGAGACUCGGUGAAAUCAUAGUACCUGUGAAGAUGCAGGUUACCCGCGACAGGACGGAAAGACCCCGUGGAGCUUUACUGUAGCCUGAUAUUGAAAUUCGGCACAGCUUGUACAGGAUAGGUAGGAGCCUUUGAAACGUGAGCGCUAGCUUACGUGGAGGCGCUGGUGGGAUACUACCCUAGCUGUGUUGGCUUUCUAACCCGCACCACUUAUCGUGGUGGGAGACAGUGUCAGGCGGGCAGUUUGACUGGGGCGGUCGCCUCCUAAAAGGUAACGGAGGCGCUCAAAGGUUCCCUCAGAAUGGUUGGAAAUCAUUCAUAGAGUGUAAAGGCAUAAGGGAGCUUGACUGCGAGACCUACAAGUCGAGCAGGGUCGAAAGACGGACUUAGUGAUCCGGUGGUUCCGCAUGGAAGGGCCAUCGCUCAACGGAUAAAAGCUACCCCGGGGAUAACAGGCUUAUCUCCCCCAAGAGUUCACAUCGACGGGGAGGUUUGGCACCUCGAUGUCGGCUCAUCGCAUCCUGGGGCUGUAGUCGGUCCCAAGGGUUGGGCUGUUCGCCCAUUAAAGCGGUACGCGAGCUGGGUUCAGAACGUCGUGAGACAGUUCGGUCCCUAUCCGUCGUGGGCGUAGGAAAUUUGAGAGGAGCUGUCCUUAGUACGAGAGGACCGGGAUGGACAUACCUCUGGUGUACCAGUUGUCGUGCCAACGGCAUAGCUGGGUAGCUAUGUGUGGACGGGAUAAGUGCUGAAAGCAUCUAAGCAUGAAGCCCCCCUCAAGAUGAGAUUUCCCAACUUCGGUUAUAAGAUCCCUCAAAGAUGAUGAGGUUAAUAGGUUCGAGGUGGAAGCAUGGUGACAUGUGGAGCUGACGAAUACUAAUCGAUCGAAGACUUAAUCAA
Molecule: ribosomal RNA, 980 nt
Filed under: Staphylococcus aureus
Lineage: Bacteria; Bacillati; Bacillota; Bacilli; Caryophanales; Staphylococcaceae
Description: partial 23S ribosomal RNA
Rfam family: Bacterial large subunit ribosomal RNA
Source: RNAcentral